This is a long non-coding RNA of Cyprinus carpio carpio, 702 nucleotides long. NCBI's taxonomy places the organism in Eukaryota, Metazoa, Chordata, Actinopteri, Cypriniformes, Cyprinidae. The record is from Ensembl.
CUUACCUCUUAUAGUUAGCCUCUGUUAGCUCACGGUUGUGAUGCUAACGGACUUAUUCCCAUGACACUGAACCAUUUCUGUAAAGUAAAUAUUCAACAGAAGCGUGUCAAUUACAUGUAAGAAAGUGUCAGGAAAAGUUGUAUGUAUUAUUUGUGUAAUUUUAGGGACUAAACUUACCUGAAAGCAGUAAAAACAACACUAACAGAGGCUAACUAUAAGAGCAGAGUUGGAGUGGACCUCUUGUUGAAGAACUUCUCCAGGCACUAUGAACCAUCUGACUAAUGCUGUCAUGAAAAGGCAACUGCUGGACACCUGGGACAGGCCAUCAAUUCCAAGUUGGCGGAACUGAGGUUUCAACUGAAGAAAAAGGAGACCUGUUAGAGUUUAGAGUUGUCUAAUAGAGAGGGUGAAGGAAGAACAUCCAAACCCUGCCCCUGCUUCCUUCAAGAUUUUUUAUGGAUUUAUAUAAUGGUGUUUUUUCGUAAAGUAAAGACAGUGGCAAAAUUAACAUGACACUACUUUGAUGUUUUGUUCUACAAAUUAAACCACACACACACUCCAAAAACACCAAUUUUGAUACAAUUUACAUUUGCAAGAAAAAAAAAAUCAAAGUAUUGUCAUGUUAAUUUUGCCACUGCCUUUACUUUACGAAAAAACACCAUUAUAUAAAUCCAUAAAAUCUUGAAGAAAUCAGGGGCAGGG